This 253-nucleotide ribosomal RNA is filed under the name uncultured bacterium. RNAcentral's name for it is "partial 16S ribosomal RNA". It matches the Rfam family "Bacterial small subunit ribosomal RNA", at positions 524 to 776 of the family's 1533-position model. The record is from RNAcentral.
UACGUAGGGUGCAAGCGUUGUCCGGAAUUAUUGGGCGUAAAGAGCUCGUAGGCGGUUUGUCGCGUCUGCCGUGAAAGUCCGGGGCUCAACUCCGGAUCUGCGGUGGGUACGGGCAGACUAGAGUGAUGUAGGGGAGACUGGAAUUCCUGGUGUAGCGGUGAAAUGCGCAGAUAUCAGGAGGAACACCAACGGCGAAAGCACUCUGCUGGGCCGACACUGACACUGAGAGACGAAAGCUAGGGGAGCGAAUGGG